This is a long non-coding RNA of Mustela erminea (ermine), 96 nucleotides long. RefSeq lists it as uncharacterized. Lineage: Eukaryota; Metazoa; Chordata; Mammalia; Carnivora; Mustelidae. The transcript has 3 exons. The record is from RefSeq and is a predicted model, not a curated record.
UAGACAUUAUUAUCUCCAUUCUGCAGAUGAAGAAACCCAGACUCAGGGAACUUAAAUAACUUACCCAAAAUCACACAGCCAAAUAAAUGGUAAGCC